RNAcentral lists this non-coding RNA (108 nucleotides) under Variovorax sp. JS1663. RNAcentral's name for it is "TPP riboswitch aptamer (THI element)". It matches the Rfam family "TPP riboswitch aptamer (THI element)". From Rfam's summary of the family: Vitamin B(1) in its active form thiamin pyrophosphate (TPP) is an essential coenzyme that is synthesised by coupling of pyrimidine and thiazole moieties in bacteria. The previously detected thiamin-regulatory element, thi box was extended, resulting in a new, highly conserved RNA secondary structure, the THI element, which is widely distributed in eubacteria and also occurs in some archaea. Lineage: Bacteria; Pseudomonadati; Pseudomonadota; Betaproteobacteria; Burkholderiales; Comamonadaceae. RNAcentral also lists the same sequence under 1 other name. The record is from Rfam by way of RNAcentral.
GAUCCCGCUCCGGGGUGCACGCAGGCUGCGUGCUGAGAUGGCCAAGUUGGCCGAACCCGCGAACUUGAUCUGGUUCAUACCAGCGUAAGAAGAGCUGCGACUCCCCGG